UGUGAGAGCACGGCCCCCCACAAUGGGACUGAGACACGGCCCAUACUCCUACGGGAGGCAGCAGCAGGGAAUAUUGCACAAUGGACGGAAGUCUGAUGCAGCGACGCCGGGUGAGUGAAGAAGGCCUUCGGGUUGUAAAACUCUUUUGAGGGGGAAGAGCGAGGACGGUACCCCUGGAAUAAGCGUCGGCUAACUACGUGCCAGCAGCCGCGGUAAGACGUAGGACGCGAGCGUUAUCCGGAUUUACUGGGCGUAAAGCGUCUGUAGGCGGAUGUGUAAGUUGGGCGUGAAAGCUCCGGGCUUAACCCGGAGAGGCCGUUCAAUACUGCAUAACUUGAGGGUGUCAGAGGGGAGCGGAAUUCCCGGUGUAGCGGUAAAAUGCGCAGAGAUCGGGAGGAACACCAGUGGCGGAGGCGGUUCCCUGGGGCACACCUGACGCUGAGAGACGAAAGCUAGGGGAGCGAACAGGAUUAGAGACCCUGGUAGUCCUAGCCCUAAACGAUGAAUGCUAGGUGUGGGAUCGAAUGGUUCCGUGCCGGAGCGAACGCGAUAAGCAUUCCGCCUGGGGAGUACGGCCGCAAGGUUAAAACUCAAACGAAUUGACGGGGCCCCGCACAAGCAGCGGAGCGUGUGGUUUAAUUCGAUGCUACACGAAGAACCUUACCUGGGUUUGACAUGUAGGUGGUAGUGAAUCGAAAGGUGAACGACCCUUCGGGGAGCCUACACAGGUGCUGCAUGGCUGUCGUCAGCUCGUGCCGUGAGGUGUCGGGUUAAGUCCCGUAACGAGCGCAACCCUUGCUCCUAGUUACAAGUGUCUAGGGGGACUGCCGGCGGAAAGCCGGAGGAAGGUGGGGAUGACGUCAAGUCAGCAUGGCCCUUAUAUCCAGGGCUACACACACGCUACAAUGGUCGGUACA
This 917-nucleotide ribosomal RNA is filed under the name uncultured organism. RNAcentral's name for it is "bacterial SSU rRNA". It matches the Rfam family "Bacterial small subunit ribosomal RNA", at positions 291 to 1241 of the family's 1533-position model. The record is from RNAcentral.